Beta vulgaris subsp. vulgaris (sugar beet) is the source of this 1519-nucleotide long non-coding RNA. RefSeq lists it as uncharacterized. The record is from RefSeq and is a predicted model, not a curated record. Lineage: Eukaryota; Viridiplantae; Streptophyta; Magnoliopsida; Caryophyllales; Amaranthaceae. The transcript is spliced from 3 exons.
UCUUUAAUAAUGAAGGAAAAAAAUACAAAUAAAGGAUUAAAAUGACAAACUGUUCUAUUCGAUUCGAUUUCCCGCAAACAACACAGUGUUCUUUCGGAAAAAAAGUGUUCUACAAAAUCUUCAUUCUCACUACCAUGUUCUACAAAAUCUUCAAUCUCACGUAACUCGGUGGGACUUUUCAAGCCUUCGACCUCGCAGAUUUAGGGAUUGGACGUUUCUCGCCUUCGAAUUCGAUCGCAUCUUCAGGUCUACUGAGGAUUUGCUUUCACAUUCUCUAAACUCUCUGUUAUUGUUUAUUGCUGGUGUAAGAGGGACUAGUAUAGUGAAUGAUGAUGUUUCAAGUCAAUUAGCAAAUGAGUGUUCAAGUGGGGUUUUCGAGUUGCGGAAUAAUAUUGAGCUUUUGGAGACCAUUCAGGUUUAUUUUUGUAUUGUUGUAUGUAUUUGAUGUGAUCUAUUUUAUUUUGACUUGCUUCUUUAUUGGAUUUUACUUCACUAUUUUAGAUCUGCUGCUCAGUGUAUUUUUCAUCUUUGUGAAAAUGUUCAUUUCAUUUUUUUUUCCGUGAGUUGAUUUUAGUUUUGGAUCGAAUUGAAGCUUGUUGAACCUCGAAUUUGAUUGUAAUUUUAAGGAUGAUAAGUGCUUAAUGUUGUUUGCUACUUAAAUGUUGAGGAUAUUUGUUGUUUCUGAACUUUGAGGAAUUUUGAAAUUGAGUAGAUUUUAUGGGAUUAGAUGAUCUAUCUGGUGUUAGAUUGUUAUGAUUUUAAAUUGUAGAUUGUAAUGUGAAUAAUAAAUCAUUGGGUUCCAGAUGUUAUGAUUUGCACUGUUGAUGUGAGGAUGGUUUUUGUUAUGUUUUAUUUGCUGCACUACACAGUUAUAUUAAACUAAAUUGUAAUCAGCAAUUGUAAAUUAUGGUGAUUUAAACUGUAAUGUGAGGAUGGUUUUUGUUAUGUUUUAUUUGUUGCACUACAGUCUACACAGUUAUAUAUGAUAUGUGAUUCCGACUUAAUAAUGCGCUAUAGGUUGUAGCUUUACUUUGUUAUACUUGCUGUAGGUCUCGAUUCACGAAUUGCUACUAAAAUUAGCAUCUUUGUAAUACACCGUCAUGUGUGGAAGUCUGAUCUGAUGUCAAUGGGUGUUGCUAUGAUGGAAUCUUUGUGGUUGUGGUUUGUGAUACUGUGGCUGAAUAUCCAGGCAUGCAUGAUUGAGGAAGAUUAAAGGAUCAGGUGGCAGAGUUGAAGUUGCUACAGUUUUAUAGAGCAGAUGAAGAGAUCUUGUGACCGAGUUCCUGAGGCUCACAGUUUUUGGCGACUUGUCAACAUGAUGCUCUUGCUAUGAAGACAUUUUAGUUGGGAGUGUAAAGAUUUAGCCGCUGCAAAGAAUAGUUGGUGCAGAAAAUGUCAAAUAGUGAUCUGGUAGUGUAGAUACAUCAGACUGUGUUCUUAUUAUUGAGACAUGUGGUAUUUCAGAAAUUGCAAGGUGCAUUACGUGAUAUCUGGUGUUAAUGUUACGCGCUUCCCUACA